AUGAAAGAAAUGUACUCUGCAUCUGCAGUGGAGCGGGUGCAGGACACGGAGCAGCAUCUCAACCAACCAACCGGGGCGGGGGCGGAUCGGCGGGUGGCUCAAUCAGCCGCGGCAGCGCGUGAUGGCGGAGCAGCCGCGGGAGUAGGGGUUGGCCUGGCCGCCGGGGCGGCAGUUGUAGUAGGAGGUGCCGCGCAGGGAGCAGGGCACGUUGUCCCUCCGCAGCGCGCCGUAGCUGAUGUAGCCGUUGCCGCUCUGCAGCACGCGCCGCGCCACCGCCUCGUCGCCGCCGGCGCCCGCGAAGAAGGGGAAAGUGGAACGGGGGGAUGGGGGAUGCUCUGCUUGCUUUCUUGGGUGCGGGUGUGGGGUUUGGUGCUUGUGCUUGGCCUCUGCCACCGGCAAAUGGGUUUAUACUAG
RNAcentral lists this ribosomal RNA (414 nucleotides) under Triticum aestivum (bread wheat). RNAcentral describes it as "partial small subunit ribosomal RNA". The record is from RNAcentral. Lineage: Eukaryota; Viridiplantae; Streptophyta; Magnoliopsida; Poales; Poaceae.